This 467-nucleotide ribosomal RNA is filed under the name uncultured bacterium. RNAcentral's name for it is "partial 16S ribosomal RNA". It matches the Rfam family "Bacterial small subunit ribosomal RNA", at positions 28 to 507 of the family's 1533-position model. The record is from RNAcentral.
GACGAACGCUGGCGGCGUGCUUAACACAUGCAAGUCGAACGGAAAGGCCCUGCUUUUGUGGGGUGCUCGAGUGGCGAACGGGUGAGUAACACGUGAGUAACCUGCCCUUGAGUUUGGGAUAACUUCAGGAAACUGGGGCUAAUACCGGAUAGGAGCUCCUGCUGCAUGGUGGGGGUUGGAAAGUUUCGGCGGUUGGGGAUGGACUCGCGGCUUAUCAGCUUGUUGGUGGGGUAGUGGCUUACCAAGGCUUUGACGGGUAGCCGGCCUGAGAGGGUGACCGGCCAAAUUGGGACUAGGAUCCGGCCCAGACUCCUACGGGAGGAAGCAGUGGGGAAUAUUGAACAAUGGGCGGAGGCCGGAUGAAGAAACGCCGGGGGGGGAUGACGGCCUUCGGGUUGUAAACCGCUUUCGCCUGUGACGAAGCGUGAGUGACGGUAAUGGGUAAAGAAGCACCGGCUAACUACGUG